UCUCUCUCUCUCAAAAAUAAAUAAAACGUUUUUUAAAAAAAAGAAAAAGAGAAAAAAAAAGAAAAAAAAAGAAGUACAUCUGCCAGUUGCCUAACUAGGACACUGAACUCAAGGGAUUUGGGACCUCAAGAAUCUGAAAGCCUGUAUUGUCCUUACUAGGAAGUCCAUAAAAGGGGGAACUAGUGGGUGGUCCCCAACUGGCUGGUUCACAACUGACACUGAUAUUGCUGCUGGGGCCGCUGCUGUGGGUUUCUCAGCCUGGAGACCCUGUUGGACCAUGGCCCAUUCUUGGCAAAAGAAGGUUCCGGCUGCCGAGUGUCCUUUGAGUAGAUGCUGGUGAUUCUGGCCCCAGAGCUCAAGUUUAAGGCAGUAGGUGGUCCAGGAGACACAAGAGCAGGUCCCCAGUCAAGGCCGGGGCCAGAGGAGAAGACACAGGAGGACUUACUGCAUGAGACAUUUACUAGGAAAGAGCAAACCACCAUCUGGGGGAGCAGAGGACCAGGGGAUGGGACAGGUCUUAUUCCUAAUGUUCCCUCCUUUCAUGGCACUCUGUUCUGUGUAGCUGGCCAGCCCCUUUACCUUCACCACAGCCAACAAAAGCCUCUGGCCAAGGACACGAGGGCCCAGGACCUUGCUUGGAAUUCCUCAGAACCCUGGGAUGCAGCCAGUCUGGUGGGGGGGAGAUGGGGUGUUAAGGAUGGAUGGGACCACUGAGGAAGGCAGGCCAGGCCUCUGGAGGCGGUUGACAUGGCUCCGUGAAGCACAAGGGGACCAUGGCCCCCUCAGCGUAGGGCUAUAGAGUUCCCCAUCUGUCCCCUGGCAGCUGACAGGUGGAGACGAGAACCCUGACCCGAGAGGUGAGUGAAAAGAGAAGCAAGGUAUCUUCACCGAGGGGAGAGCCCAUGUCCUGUGGCUGAGUGCCUGGUGAGGUUGGGAUCACCAUGAGCAAGUUCUACUUUGAUUGAAAGCCUCUAACCCAGGAUUCUGGACCAAAAACUCAGCAUCCUCUGAAGGAGACACAGCUGAGGAUCCGAAAGGGCAGAGAGAGCUUGUGAGGAAACGGGUGCAGGUGAAACUGGGGAGAACAGGUGGAAAUGGGUCAGGGAUGUGGCUGAGGCUGAGGUUGGCGGUUCCAGUGAUGAUGGAGGUCGAGGAAGAUGACGCGUCGGGGAUCAGGAUGUGCUUCUGAGACACAAUAUCGAGGAAGAAUGAGGUGGGGGUAUCGAUCAGUCUGAGGGAUAUUCCUUCUGCAGAUGGGCAGUGUUGAUGGAGCCCUGCCUUUUCAGUGGUGCUGAAAACUGGGCAGCCCCAGGGAGGAGAGAGGCCUUAUAUACUUUGUCUACGCCUACAGCUGCAGACAAGAAGGCAGGGCACCCGCCUUUCCCCAGAAGAGUCAGUUGAGAAGGACAUAGCCGCUGCCCCUAGGGAGGCCCCUGCUUCCUUCCCGUCAGGGCCCUCCAAAGGCUGCACAACCCAGGCCCCCAGAAGUGAGCCCCCCUAAUGUGUAGUGGAAAAUGAAUCCUAAAGGAAGGCCAGACUGCCACCUGACGAGCACCCUAGACUGGAUGUCACUUGAAGCCUCCUGGGGCUCCGGUGCCCUGUGAAUCUCUUCCUCUUGGAACAUGGGUGACAGCUAUCUAGUGCCUUGCUGGGCCCCGGGCUCUCCUGCCAGCAGUGACUGAGAUGGGAAGGCUGAGAGCUAAGAUUCUCCUUUAGGAACUCAGUGUUCAGUUCAAAAAUGUGCCAUGACCCAUGGUGGCCCUUUUUCUCUUGGGGCUCCAGAGAGCUUCUGAGCUGGACAGACUGGAAUAAGAGAACCCAGCAGAAAUGGAGGGAGAAGCAAGAGGUCCAGAGUGUGGGAAAAUGUCAUUGGAAAGUAGCUAGCACGGAAAUGUGAGUUUCCCUCCCUCUACUAUUCUGAUAUUCUCAGGAGCUGGGAAGCUGGCAUAAAAAAUAGUCAAGGUUUUAAAGCUGCAAUGGACUAUAUUCUGUUUCUUUCAAAAUUCUUUUCACAUCCUCCUUGGCAGAGAGGCCUGCCUGCUUUCCUAUCAACACUGAAGACUGUGUAGCAGCAUCUAUAUAUACAGCCUGAGGUGUGCUCCCAGAGCCUGAUGGUUGGAGCUGCCUCCCUGGCUCUUUCUUCCAAUUGAUGGAAUGGUGUCUGUAAAAAUGUUUUGAAAAUAUGAAAAGUGGCAAAUUGGCCUUCAUGACAAAUAGAACUUAAUGUAACAUAUUUUACACGUUAAAUCUCCACGAACAAAAGCGAUCUCUAAUGUUUUCUUUCUCAGGGCAAAUUUCUUGGCAUUUACAUACCUUCAGUGUUUUACUGUGAUCCUGGCUGGUGGCGGGGGGAGUUAUCAUAAUAAAUAAAACAGCUUUCACCUGUA
Leopardus geoffroyi (Geoffroy's cat) is the source of this 2387-nucleotide long non-coding RNA. RefSeq lists it as uncharacterized. The record is from RefSeq and is a predicted model, not a curated record. The transcript has 2 exons. NCBI's taxonomy places the organism in Eukaryota, Metazoa, Chordata, Mammalia, Carnivora, Felidae.